CGUAGGGUGCGAGCGUUAAUCGGAAUUACUGGGCGUAAAGCGUGCGCAGGCGGCUUUGUAAGACGGAUGUGAAAGCCCCGGGCUCAACCUGGGAAGUGCAUUCGUGACUGCAAGGCUAGAGUGUGUCAGAGGGAGGUGGAAUUCCGCGUGUAGCAGUGAAAUGCGUAGAGAUGCGGAGGAACACCGAUGGCGAAGGCAGCCUCCUGGGAUAACACUGACGCUCAGGCACGAAAGCGUGGGGAGCAA
RNAcentral lists this ribosomal RNA (246 nucleotides) under uncultured bacterium. RNAcentral describes it as "partial 16S ribosomal RNA". It matches the Rfam family "Bacterial small subunit ribosomal RNA", at positions 526 to 771 of the family's 1533-position model. The record is from RNAcentral.